CCUACGGGUUGCAGCAGUGGGGAAUAUUGCACAAUGGGCGCAAGCCUGAUGCAGCCAUGCCGCGUGUGUGAAGAAGGCCUUCGGGUUGUAAAGCACUUUCAGCGGGGAGGAAGGCGUUAAGGUUAAUAACCUUAGCGAUUAACGUUACCCGCAGAAGAAGCACCGGCUAACUCCGUGCCAGCAGCCGCGGUAAUACGGAGGGUGCAAGCGUUAAUCGGAAUUACUGGGCGUAAAGCGCACGCAGGCGGUCUGUCAAGUCGGAUGUGAAAUCCCCGGGCUCAACCUGGGAACUGCAUUCGAAACUGGCAGGCUAGAGUCUUGUAGAGGGGGGUGGAAUUCCAGGUGUAGCGGUGAAAUGCGUAGAGAUCUGGAGGAAUACCGGUGGCGAAGGCGGCCCCCUGGACAAAGACUGACGCUCAGGUGCGAAAGCGUGGGGAGCAAACAGGAUUAGAUACCCUCGUAG
This 463-nucleotide ribosomal RNA is filed under the name uncultured bacterium. Its description in RNAcentral is "bacterial SSU rRNA". It matches the Rfam family "Bacterial small subunit ribosomal RNA", at positions 338 to 793 of the family's 1533-position model. The record is from RNAcentral.